This 239-nucleotide ribosomal RNA is filed under the name uncultured Pseudomonadota bacterium. RNAcentral's name for it is "uncultured proteobacterium partial 16S ribosomal RNA". It matches the Rfam family "Bacterial small subunit ribosomal RNA", at positions 29 to 287 of the family's 1533-position model. The record is from RNAcentral. Lineage: Bacteria; Pseudomonadati; Pseudomonadota.
AAUGAACGUUGGCGGCAGGCUUAACACAUGCAAGUCGAACGAAAGUUACUUUCGGUAGCGGAUUCGUGGCGGACGGGUGAGUAUAACAUAGAAAUCUACCGUGCUCUGGGGGAGUAACAGUUGGAAACGACUGAUAAUACCGCAUACGCCAUAUUGGGAACCUACGGGGGAGCACGAUGAGUCUAUGCCAGAUUAGCUAGUUGGUGGGGUAAUGGCUUACCAAGGCGACGAUCUGUAGC